AAUGCUUACCCAGCGAGAAGAAGACGAGAAGAAUCACAGCGAGGAGACCAAUCACAGCGGUGGUGGUGGUGGUGGUGGUGGUGGUGGGUAGUAGUGGUGGUGGAGGUGGUGGUGGAGGGAGAAGAGUUGAGAAAGAGAGAGAGAUGGAGUUUUGGUUGCGGUGGUGAGGGUGAGAAAGAGAGAUCGAGUUUUAGGUUGUGUUUUUUUUGCUGAAUUCUAAGUCAUUUUAGUAGUAAUGGAGAAGAUGAGAACAGAUGAAGAAGAUGAGAAGAAGAUGCUUACCCAGCGAGAAGAAGACGAGAAGAAUCACAGCAGUGGUGGUGGUGGUGGUGGUGGGUAGUAGUGGUGGUGGAGAAAGAGAGAUCGAGUUUUAGGUUGCGGUGGUGAGGGUGAGAAAGAGAGAUCGAGUUUUUUGCGGUGGUGAGGGUGAGAAAGAGAGAUCGAGUGAGGUUGCGGCCGCCAUUAGAGAGAGAGAGAGAUCGAGUUUUAGGUUUGUUUUUUUUUUUUUUUUUUAUGUUAUAUAGUGUGGCGAAAAAUGUUGGCGAAUUCGCGGUGAAUAAAAAAACACCUAUUCGGGUGGGCGAAAAAAUGGUCGAUUCGCCGAGUUUUUUUGGUGAAUGAGUGUAUUUUGACAAAAAAAUCCGGUGUAUAAAUAAUUUACUCCAAAUACGCCAAAUUCGCCGAGUCUUUAUCAAACAUCAAGAAUACCGGUGAAACGCGGCGAAUCACCCAUUCACCACGGCGAAUCGGUUAUCAAACAGGGCCUA
This 767-nucleotide long non-coding RNA is filed under the name Aquilegia coerulea. RNAcentral's name for it is "long non-coding RNA (ACOE_LNC000962)". Lineage: Eukaryota; Viridiplantae; Streptophyta; Magnoliopsida; Ranunculales; Ranunculaceae. The record is from RNAcentral.